GCGAGGGGAGUGAAAAAGAACCUGAAACCGUGUACGUACAAGCAGUGGGAGCACCCUUUGGGGUGUGACUGCGUACCUUUUGUAUAAUGGGUCAGCGACUUAUAUUCUGUAGCAAGGUUAACCGAAUAGGGGAGCCGGAGGGAAACCGAGUCUUAACCGGGCGUUAAGUUGCAGGGUAUAGACCCGAAACCCGGUGAUCUAGCCAUGGGCAGGUUGAAGGUUGGGUAACACUAACUGGAGGACCGAACCGACUAAUGUUGAAAAAUUAGCGGAUGACCUGUGGCUGGGGGUGAAAGGCCAAUCAAACCGGGAGAUAGCUGGUUCUCCCCGAAAGCUAUUUAGGUAGCGCCUCGUGAAUUCAUCUCCGGGGGUAGAGCACUGUUUCGGCUAGGGGGCCAUCCCGGCUUACCAACCCGAUGCAAACUGCGAAUACCGGAGAAUGUUAUCACGGGAGACACACGGCGGGUGCUAACGUCCGUCGUGAAGAGGGAAACAACCCAGACCGCCAGCUAAGGUCCCAAAGUCAUGGUUAAGUGGGAAACGAUGUGGGAAGGCCCAGACAGCCAGGAUGUUGGCUUAGAAGCAGCCAUCAUUUAAAGAAAGCGUAAUAGCUCACUGGUCGAGUCGGCCUGCGCGGAAGAUGUAACGGGGCUAAACCAUGCACCGAAGCUGCGGCAGCGACGCUGAUGCGUUGUUGGGUAGGGGAGCGUUCUGUAAGCCUGCGAAGGUGGCCUGUGAGGGUUGCUGGAGGUAUCAGAAGUGCGAAUGCUGACAUAAGUAACGAUAAAGCGGGUGAAAAGCCCGCUCGCCGGAAGACCAAGGGUUCCUGUCCAACGUUAAUCGGGGCAGGGUGAGUCGACCCCUAAGGCGAGGCCGAAAGGCGUAGUCGAUGGGAAACGGGUUAAUAUUCCCGUACUUGGUGUUACUGCGAAGGGGGGACGGAGAAGGCUAUGUUGGCCGGGCGACGGUUGUCCCGGUUUAAGCGUGUAGGUGUGUGUUCCAGGUAAAUCCGGUUCACUUUAACACUGAGGCGUGAUGACGAGGCACUACGGUGCUGAAGCAACAAAUGCCCUGCUUCCAGGAAAAGCCUCUAAGCAUCAGGUAACAUCAAAUCGUACCCCAAACCGACACAGGUGGUCAGGUAGAGAAUACCAAGGCGCUUGAGAGAACUCGGGUGAAGGAACUAGGCAAAAUGGUGCCGUAACUUCGGGAGAAGGCACGCUGACACGUAGGUGAAGUGAUUUACUCAUGGAGCUGAAGUCAGUCGAAGAUACCAGCUGGCUGCAACUGUUUAUUAAAAACACAGCACUGUGCAAACACGAAAGUGGACGUAUACGGUGUGACGCCUGCCCGGUGCCGGAAGGUUAAUUGAUGGGGUCAGCGCAAGCGAAGCUCCUGAUCGAAGCCCCGGUAAACGGCGGCCGUAACUAUAACGGUCCUAAGGUAGCGAAAUUCCUUGUCGGGUAAGUUCCGACCUGCACGAAUGGCGUAAUGAUGGCCAGGCUGUCUCCACCCGAGACUCAGUGAAAUUGAACUCGCUGUGAAGAUGCAGUGUACCCGCGGCAAGACGGAAAGACCCCGUGAACCUUUACUAUAGCUUGACACUGAACAUUGAGCCUUGAUGUGUAGGAUAGGUGGGAGGCUUUGAAGUGUGGACGCCAGUCUGCAUGGAGCCGACCUUGAAAUACCACCCUUUAAUGUUUGAUGUUCUAACGUGGACCCGUGAUCCGGGUUGCGGACAGUGUCUGGUGGGUAGUUUGACUGGGGCGGUCUCCUCCUAAAGAGUAACGGAGGAGCACGAAGGUUGGCUAAUCCUGGUCGGACAUCAGGAGGUUAGUGCAAUGGCAUAAGCCAGCUUGACUGCGAGCGUGACGGCGCGAGCAGGUGCGAAAGCAGGUCAUAGUGAUCCGGUGGUUCUGAAUGGAAGGGCCAUCGCUCAACGGAUAAAAGGUACUCCGGGGAUAACAGGCUGAUACCGCCCAAGAGUUCAUAUCGACGGCGGUGUUUGGCACCUCGAUGUCGGCUCAUCACAUCCUGGGGCUGAAGUAGGUCCCAAGGGUAUGGCUGUUCGCCAUUUAAAGUGGUACGCGAGCUGGGUUUAGAACGUCGUGAGACAGUUCGGUCCCUAUCUGCCGUGGGCGCUGGAGAACUGAGGGGGGCUGCUCCUAGUACGAGAGGACCGGAGUGGACGCAUCACUGGUGUUCGGGUUGUCAUGCCAAUGGCACUGCCCGGUAGCUAAAUGCGGAAGAGAUAAGUGCUGAAAGCAUCUAAGCACGAAACUUGCCCCGA
RNAcentral lists this ribosomal RNA (2290 nucleotides) under Salmonella enterica. RNAcentral's name for it is "bacterial LSU rRNA". It matches the Rfam family "Bacterial large subunit ribosomal RNA", at positions 529 to 2802 of the family's 2925-position model. Lineage: Bacteria; Pseudomonadati; Pseudomonadota; Gammaproteobacteria; Enterobacterales; Enterobacteriaceae. The record is from RNAcentral.